RNAcentral lists this long non-coding RNA (1104 nucleotides) under Homo sapiens (human). RNAcentral describes it as "non-protein coding lnc-ADAM21-3:4". Lineage: Eukaryota; Metazoa; Chordata; Mammalia; Primates; Hominidae. The record is from RNAcentral.
GGCAAUGCUUCCCUGUCUCCUUCUGUACUGUGGAAGCUUUGCUCUUUUACUCUGCAAUAAAUCUUGCUGCUGCUAACUGUUUGGGUCCACGCUACCUCUAUAAGCUGUAACACUCACCAUAAAGGUCUUACAGCUUCAUUCCUGAAGCCAGUGAGACCACGAACCCAGCAGGAGGAACGAACAACUCCAGACGCGCUGCCUUAAGAGCUGUUAACACUCACCGCAAGGUCUGCAGCUUCACUCCUGAAGCCAGAGAGACCACGAACCCAGCAGGAGGAAUGAACAACUCCAGAUGCGCCGCCUUAAGAGCUGUAACGCUCACCGCGAAGGUCUGCAGCCUCACUCCUGAGCCAGCGAGACCACGAACCCACCAGAAGGAAGAAACUCCGAACACAUCCGAACCUCGGAAGGAAGAAACUCCAAACACAUCCAAACAUCAGAAGGAACAAACUCUGCACACACCGCCUUUAAGAACUGUAACACUCACCACCAGGGUUCGCGGCUUCAUUCUUGAAGUCAGUGAGACCAAGAAGCCACCAAUUCCGGACACAAUAUGAAGUAAGUUUUCCUAUGUCUUUUAAAAAUAUAUAUUAAUAUAUUUAAUAAGAAUUUAUUACCUUUUCACUACCCUAUUUGGUACUAUUCUUAUUCAUUUUACUUUUUAUUUUUAAAAACUUUUGCAGUGGUAUGAUUGUAUAUGGAAAGGUCAAUGAAAAAAAUUCACUCUUCCUAAUCUGAAAUGGCAUGUUUAUUUUCAUUUAUUUAUUUUUACUGACAUGACCAUAUAAGGGUUAGUGAAAGAAAAUGUUCACUACUUAAAGUUUCCUGGCCAUUAAUUAUUUGUUUCAUUUCAUGAUUAUUCCUCAAAAUAACUUUGUCAGGUAGAGGAAGAAAAGUUAAAACAUAAUCCGCUCUGUCAAACACACGAGAUAGAACACUAAGGCUUGAUCCAAAAAUAUGUGGAGCCUAUUUCCAAGGCAGUUCAGUUAACUUUUUCCACUCAGCCAUGUGGGUUCCCACCUCACCCUCCUCUCUUCUUGCUGCUCAGUCUUUCCAUUGUCCUCCUCACUGCCUCACCCAGCUCCUAAGUGCCGUUUUAAUAUG